CUCUACGUGAGUAGCUACCAUUCAGGUUCCCUUCGUGGUGACCUCGGGUAUGAAGCGCUAUCAGCUUUCUCCAGCUUUCUCCAGCUUUCUCCAGCUUUCUCCAGCUUUCUCCAGCUUUCUCCAGCUUUCUCCAGCUUUCUCCAGCUUUCUCCAGCUUUCUCCAGAACAGAGGAAAGGACUCGACUGUUAACUGUGUUCGUACCCUUCGAACUGUUGGUGCCAUCCCUGCUCAGGCGGACGGCUACGAGGGACUUUCUAGGCCAGUGGAUCUCAACCAGGGCGGCGCGGAGCGAUCGGAAGUGAGGUGCAAGUAGUUUUAAAGAAAAACAAACAGGGCAUUAUUUGGGUACUCUGUGUAUUUUAUUGCCUUUCAAAUAUAUUAGGUAUUCGCCACAUGAUAGGGGAGGCUUGGGGGAGGGCCUUUACAAAAGGUUGAGAGCCUCUGUUCUAGGCUAUAUACUUGCUUGCUCGCUUAUUGUAUUUAUCUCUGCCAAUCUGUGAAAUAAAUAUUCCUGUUGAUCAUGUCUUCUCUGCGGUUUGUCAGCUGGCGUGUGUCACAGCUCGGUCCGAGCAGAACUCAAAUUCCCAAGAUGCAACACUCACUUCUCAUGCACGCAUGCGCUCACCAUCCCCGGAGUUCUGAUCAGACACACCUGGCACCAAUCACACACUCACCGCUAGUAUUUAGGGAAGUCAUUCACCCAGUUUAUACGCGAAGUGUACGCUCAGUAGCUCGUUUCUCUGCGUUACCAAGCCGGUCUAGUUUGUUUGUUUCUCGUGAUCCUCGACCCUUGUUUUCUGUCUCGACUACGCUUUCUGCCUAUCCCCGUUUGUAUUGUUCGCCCGAUCGCUUGACCCUUGUUUACCCUACGACUACGUUUCUGGAACUUCCCGAUUCUACGCUCUACCCCCGCCGCCCGCUCCUGCUUCCGUGCCGUUUCGAGGGAAGGAGUCUCCAGUGUCAGAAGUAAAGAGUUCAGGGAUUCAUUUGGGAACAGGUCAGCAGAGCUUUAGGAGGGAAUGAGGAGGAGAAGAGGCAUUCUGAUGGCAUUUUGGCAUAUGGAUUUUUUAGACAAACACAAUUAAUUAGCAAAAAAAAAAAAAAAAAAAGUAAGACUUUCUUAACCAUAAGUUUAUGCAGUGUUUUGGGGGCCCUUGGUAGCUUGGGGCACAAGACAAUAGCUGACCUUUACCUAAUAGUAAAGUGCUUGUUGCUGCAUCUGCUGCAUUCCUUUCUUGUCACUACACCCUGGUCUAAUUUACUCACGUUACAACCCGUUUAGGAGAGGGGAAAAGGGUGCAACAUGUGGGCCACCAGGCCUAAAACAGACUCCGGUAAUGUGGCGCUGGUUGCCACUGAUUAUAAGCUGGUCUAACAAUGUUUCUUGUCUCUCUGCCUCCCUCUAGUGAUGGAACCAGACCGAGCUGGCUGUCCCUUUAUAAUGCAAUAAAUUACUUACAAUGUUCUAACAUCUUUAGGCAACAGGUUACUCCUCCAGAACUCAACAAGAAUCAUGUGAGCUUUAACCAGUUUCAUAAAACCACUGGUGUGACUUACACAUUAUUAUUAUUAUUAUUAUUAUUAUUAUUAUUAUUAUUAUUAUUAUUAUUAUUAACAUUUUGUCAGGGCAAAAUUUGCUGUUUGAUUACACACCCUGCUGAAAAAAUAAAUAAAAUAAAAAUCACUAA
This is a long non-coding RNA of Ictalurus punctatus (channel catfish), 1689 nucleotides long. RefSeq lists it as uncharacterized. Lineage: Eukaryota; Metazoa; Chordata; Actinopteri; Siluriformes; Ictaluridae. The record is from RefSeq and is a predicted model, not a curated record. The transcript is spliced from 3 exons.